CCCCCCAAGUUUGUGUGAUUGUCGCGGAGCACUUUCAGAUUCUCCAGCUCAGCAGUGGCACCAACAUCUGCGGGAGAAAGGCGCCCUGCUGUCAUUGUGAGUCGAGGUUCCAAGGCAGAGAGCGGAGGGAGGAAGAGCAGUUUAUGGGUCUGAGAAGAAAGGCUGCAUGGGAUGGGGUGGAGGAGAGAGGCUGUGUGCGCGAGGCCUGGGAAGGAUGGUGGGGAAGGGGCACAGGCCUAGGUCGAGGGACCCCACAGCAGAGCCCCCAGAACUGCAGCCUCCUCGAGGCAUCUCCUUGCAGUCACCUCUAACUGCACUGUGACAAGCCCAGCACGGAAUUCUUACAGUAACAGAGUGUUUUGGGGAACAGGCUAUGGACAAUUUGCUGGAGCAGCUCUCCCAGGCUCAGGCGUCCUGGAGACAGCCACCUAGAGAGCCAGGGACCAGGGUUCCACCUCCGCCCGUGACCUUGACUCCAGAAAACAGGCUCUGAGAUCACAGAACCAGCUGGAGUCCCUGCCCUCCAGUGGUAAAUCAUCACGGUCAAAAUAACAACUAAAAUGCAUGGAAUGAGCUCAAGAAGCUACAAAACCCAGGGAGCCAGCAGGUGGCGCCCGGCGACCGUAAUGGCCCCGCGCAGCUGGCAUUUCUGGUGCCUGCACCUGGGUCCCCUGGAGCCGCCUAGGGAGCAUAGGCUCCCCAGCCCAGGGCCCUAGUGGCAGCGCCCUCCCGGCUCUGACCAGCACUUUGUUUCUUGGUGCCUCAGUUUCAUCAUCUCCACAGUGGGGAGACUGACAUUCAUUCAUUGUCACGGGUGGAUGGGGUAAAAGUGUUAAUGUCUGUGCCGUUGUCAUAUAGGUCAGCGUUAGUUUUAGUCACCAGUUUUUGCUUUUUAAUUUUAUCCAUAGUUACUAUAUUGCACACGUUAUAUUUUUAUUAAUUAAUGUUAUGUUAUUAUGUUAGUUGGUCUCUUUCCAAGGAGUCUUAAUUUUAGUUUUCCUGGACCCUUGCUGUUCCCUCACUCCCUGUCACACAUUACUCAAAGUCCACAUAAUUUUAUGGAAUAAAUUUUAUGGUAUAAAUG
Molecule: long non-coding RNA, 1084 nt
Filed under: Heterocephalus glaber (naked mole-rat)
Lineage: Eukaryota; Metazoa; Chordata; Mammalia; Rodentia; Bathyergidae
Description: lncRNA (ENSHGLG00000030085.2)
Source: RNAcentral